Long non-coding RNA from Felis catus (domestic cat), 1693 nucleotides. RefSeq lists it as uncharacterized. NCBI's taxonomy places the organism in Eukaryota, Metazoa, Chordata, Mammalia, Carnivora, Felidae. The transcript is spliced from 3 exons. The record is from RefSeq and is a predicted model, not a curated record.
CCAGAACCUAGCUGCCUAAAUUGUAUAUGGAAAUAUACAUGAAUACAUAAAAGCUAAGGAUUUCUGUUAAAUAUUCAUAGAUUUUUAUAUGAGAAAUCCAGUUUUGAUAUUGGGGAAGAAAUUGAGGCCUUUUAAAAGAAUGCUAUGGCUAAUUUGGGAGAAUCUAGGUCUCUACAAUCCAGCUCAAUUUUCAGCAACCCUUCCUGUUAGGUGCCCAUCUGGAGAGCAAAGAUUGAGAAGGAAAUUCUGUGCAUGCCCAGCCUGAAGUCUCUUUAUGUGGGUUUCUAAAGGUGUGUCCACAUGUAAUUAGCCUUAAAAAAAUCUAAACUUCACUCAUUUUUCGGGGGGGGGGAUGAUGAAAUUUGAUAUCAAUGGCUAAAUGUAACUCCCCCUGUUCAGAACAUGUAAUAAGACUUAGAAAUGUAUACAAUUUAUAUUCAAAUGCUUCUGUAAAUAGAGGGGGAGAGAGAGAGAGAGACCAAGAGAGUGCAUGCAAAUGUUGCAAGAUGCUAACAAUUAGUGGGUUCAGGUAUUGAGUAUAGACAUAAUCACUAUAUUGACCUUUUAAUUUUUCUGUUGAAUUGGAAGUCUUCAGAAUAAAAAGGAGGUGAAGGUAGGCAAAUUGGUCUGGGGACUCGAAUGGCCCAGUAGGUACCAGGGCUUCCUUAAUUGGUUGAUAAAUGAGACAGUUUACCUCUGGAUCACAUACAGGGAUAUGUGUAUAACACUUGUGUGUAUUGAUAGUGGGGACUGCAUUUCCUACCUCAUAUCGACCCCUCACAAUUCUGAUUGCAGAGUUGUUGAUAUGCAUUCUGAAAUGACAAUAAAAUUGAUUUCUGAUGAACAGUGUUUUUGUCAAAUUCAACAAUACGUGUGUGACCAGUUCUGUUAACAUAGCAAUAUUUGAUUCUUUUUUUUUAUUUUCCCAAAUUCUAACUCCCAAUUUCCCUGAUUUCUACAAUCAUUUCUUUCUUACCAAACACUACAAUAUAAAGCUACCACAACUAAACUGUAGUAGUAGGGUUUUUUUUCUCCUCAUACUGUGUCAUAAGCUGUUAUCCUUCUCUUGGAAGAAGUAAAUAAAUGUGUUUUAUUCAACCCAAAGAACUUAAAUUAGUAUGGAAGAGAGUUGAAUGGGAGGAAUUGAGGGGCUGGGUUUGAAUAUAAAUUGAAAUUUACCAACACUCUAAAAGGCAUAAUGUUGGCAGUCUUCCAAAAUAUUUGUUCAUAGCAGGUUUGAUAUUAAUGGAUAUAUAAAUUUAUGUACACUUUACAGUUAGCAUUUUAUGAAGUGUUCCUUGAAGUAAUUAUCAGUUCAGCACCAUACCCUAGCUAAUAAUAUUUAACAACAAUAAUGCUUUGUGCUUGUGCCAAAGAUCACAAUGAGUAAUCAAGCAAUUUAGUAUCCUACCACAUCCUGGCUGCCUGGAAAUACCUCCAUGACCUGAGUAUACAAAUGGAGAAAUGAAGAUCCAAAGAUGUAAUGAAGGACAUCCUCAAAAAUCAUUAAAAUCCCAAGGAUAAACUACCAGUUUCUGAUGACAGGUGUCUCUCCCUCUCAGCAAGUAUAGAGUAAGAUAAAUUAGAAGCAGUCACUCAUUAUGCUAAUUACAGUAAUAUAUUUUAUAUCCAAAUAUUCUGAUACAUUAGAAAUGGAUAUUGCUUUGGGAUGGCCGGGUGGCUCCGUCAGUUA